GAGUGAAGCAGUUCUGAAAAGUAAUUUGGGGCCUCUUUGGAGUCUUAUGGACUUGUGCACAGUGCCAUCAAUAUUAGACUUCCAGAGUGCGAAGGGCUAUAAUGGAGUGACCCAGGGAAAAUUUCACUGCUCUGUAUCAAAGGUGGUGAGCUGCCCUAUGGAAAGAACCAUGUGACAAGGAAACCAGGAUGAUCUCUGACCAACAAAUGAUAAGAAACUAAAUCCUGCCACCUGAAAUGAGGAAAGGUUCCUGUCACCAAGCAAUGGAAGUCCAUGAGGAACUGAGUCCUAUUAACACCUAUAUCACUGAAUUUGGAAUCAGAUCUUCUUCCACUUGAGUCUAUAGAUGAGACCACACCUCUGCCUGAUGGUGUGACUGCAGCAUCAUGAAAACCUGAGGCAGAUGCAGGCAUCUAACUUCUGCUCAGUUGCUAGACCCAGAGAAGUGGGAUCAUAAAUAUUUGUUGAUUGAAACUACCAAGUUUUGAGUCAAUUUUCAAUACAGCUAAAGAUAACCAACUAGCAUUUUUUAUAACUUGUAACAAAAUAAUUACCUUGUCUUAUCACAUGUUGUGAUCUGACUCUGAAUUUGAAAAUGCUUUGAAAAUGUUGACAAUUGUUAAAGUUGGUUAAUACGUAUGUAGGGUUUAUGAUG
Long non-coding RNA from Sciurus carolinensis (gray squirrel), 655 nucleotides. RefSeq lists it as uncharacterized. Lineage: Eukaryota; Metazoa; Chordata; Mammalia; Rodentia; Sciuridae. The transcript has 3 exons. The record is from RefSeq and is a predicted model, not a curated record.